This is a non-coding RNA of Bos taurus (domestic cattle), 72 nucleotides long. The record is from Rfam. NCBI's taxonomy places the organism in Eukaryota, Metazoa, Chordata, Mammalia, Artiodactyla, Bovidae.
UCCCUUGAGGCUCAGCUGGUAAAGAAUCUGCCUGUAAUGCAGAAGACCUGGGUUCAAUCCCUGGGUUGGGAA